This is a long non-coding RNA of Poecile atricapillus (Black-capped chickadee), 329 nucleotides long. RefSeq lists it as uncharacterized. The record is from RefSeq and is a predicted model, not a curated record. The transcript has 3 exons. NCBI's taxonomy places the organism in Eukaryota, Metazoa, Chordata, Aves, Passeriformes, Paridae.
GGUCACUCAGGGGUCAUUGGGGUCACUCAGGGGUCACUCAGGGUCACUCAGGGGUCACUCAAGGUCACUCAGGGGUCAUUGGGGUCACUCAGGGUCACUCAGGGGUCACUCAGGGGUCACUCAGGGCUCACUCAGGGGUCACUCAGGGGUCACUCAGGGGUCACUCAGGGUCACUCAGGGGUCACUCAGGGGUCACUCAGGGUCACUCAGGGGUCACCCAGGGGGUCACUCAGGGUCACUCAGGGGUCACUCAGGGGUCAUUGGGGUCACUCAGGGGUCACUCAGGGGUCACUCAGGGGUCAGGGGGGUCACUCAGGGGUCACUCAGGG